This 216-nucleotide ribosomal RNA is filed under the name uncultured Scutellospora. Its description in RNAcentral is "partial small subunit ribosomal RNA". It matches the Rfam family "Eukaryotic small subunit ribosomal RNA", at positions 569 to 789 of the family's 1831-position model. The record is from RNAcentral. Lineage: Eukaryota; Fungi; Glomeromycota; Glomeromycetes; Diversisporales; Gigasporaceae.
AGCAGCCGCGGUAAUUCCAGCUCCAAUAGCGUAUAUUAAAGUUGUUGCAGUUAAAAAGCUCGUAGUUGAAUUUCGGGGUUCUACCGUUGGUCGGGCUUUGUCUGCACUGGCGUGUAGAAUUUCUACCUUCUGGGGAACCAUCAUGUUAUUAAUUUAACGUGGUGGGAAACCAGGACCUUUACCUUGAAAAAAUUAGAGUGUUCAAAGCAGGCUUGU